AUUGAACGCUGGCGGCAGGCCUAACACAUGCAAGUCGAGCGGAUGAAGGGUGCUUGCUCCUGGAUUCAGCGGCGGACGGGUGAGUAAUGCCUAGGAAUCUGCCUGGUAGUGGGGGAUAACGUCCGGAAACGGGCGCUAAUACCGCAUACGUCCUGAGGGAGAAAGUGGGGGAUCUUCGGACCUCACGCUAUCAGAUGAGCCUAGGUCGGAUUAGCUAGUUGGUGGGGUAAAGGCCUACCAAGGCGACGAUCCGUAACUGGUCUGAGAGGAUGAUCAGUCACACUGGAACUGAGACACGGUCCAGACUCCUACGGGAGGCAGCAGUGGGGAAUAUUGGACAAUGGGCGAAAGCCUGAUCCAGCCAUGCCGCGUGUGUGAAGAAGGUCUUCGGAUUGUAAAGCACUUUAAGUGGGGAGGAAGGGCAGUAAGUUAAUACCUUGCUGUUUUGACGGUACCAACAGAAUAAGCACCGGCUAACUUCGUG
This 484-nucleotide ribosomal RNA is filed under the name uncultured bacterium. Its description in RNAcentral is "partial 16S ribosomal RNA". It matches the Rfam family "Bacterial small subunit ribosomal RNA", at positions 30 to 507 of the family's 1533-position model. The record is from RNAcentral.